Molecule: ribosomal RNA, 347 nt
Filed under: uncultured bacterium
Lineage: Bacteria
Description: partial 16S ribosomal RNA
Rfam family: Bacterial small subunit ribosomal RNA
Source: RNAcentral
CCUACGGGUGGCAGCAGUGAGGAAUAUUGGUCAAUGGACGAGAGUCUGAACCAGCCAAGUAGCGUGAAGGAUGACUGCCCUAUGGGUUGUAAACUUCUUUUAUAGGGGAAGAAAACAGGGUAUGCAUACCCUCUUGUAUGGACCAUAUGAAUAAGGAAAGGCUAACUCCGUGACAGCAGACGCGGUAAUACGCAGGUUCCGUGCGUUAUCCCGAGUGAUUGGGUUUAAAGGGAGCGUAGGGGGAUUGUUAAGUCAGUUGUGAAAGUUUGCGGCUCAACCGUACAAUGGCAGUUGAAACUGGCAGUCUUGAGUACAGUAGAGGUGGGCGUAAUUCGUGGUGUAGCGGU